CUCGGCGGCGCGGCCCCGACGGCGGAGCAGCCACCCCGGGCUUCCUCACCGGGCGGAAGGCUGAGAGGAAGAGAGGGCGUGAGGGGCGGACGACUACUUUUGUCUUUCUUUCUUUAGACUAAAAAAGUUAUUUUCGAGACAGGAGGCGGCAGGAGAGAGGAAGAGACGAGCGAUGGCGGCCUGGUCACAUCGCUCGGACCUCCCCAGCUGCCUCCGCCUCCAGCUCCGCAGCAUUCGAAGAUCUCAAUAGCUGCAUUUCCAGCUCCGAGAGGCGAAGAGAUGCAAGCGCCGUGCAGCACCCUUUAUAGUGCCACGAAAAGGAAGUGGCGUAGCUGGAGCGUGAUGGCCGACUCCAGCCAAUCCGAAUAUCGCACCAUUGUGACGCAAGCCGGUUCGGAGCCGAAAGGGGCGGGAAAAGAGUUCAGGAGGCGGGUCCAGAGAUAGGGAAGAGAGGGAGGAGCUGACGUAAUCCGCUUGUAAACAAAUAAACCCGGAGUGGCGGCUGGAGACCCAGUUGCUUGUGUCGAGGGAGGGAGGGAGGGAACAGAGGGUGCGCGUGUGAAAGCUCCGCCCCCAGCCCUAGCUCCUCCUUCCCGCUUCAGCAGGUCCAGGCUCUGCGCCAGUGCAUCCUUCUCCAAGAGUGCGCUGCCUGGGCCCGCUUGCCCUGGAGUGUAAGUGCUGGGUAAAUAAGAACCGCCUGGCGCAGGCUGUGUCUACUCUUCACGCCGCCUUCUCAGAUCGGGCUGCAUGUCCCCACUCCGUGUUUACAUCUCGUUCCCGCUCCGGGUCUCGGUGACUGGCUCCUCAAGCCGGAGACGCGUGUGGUGCGGCGCGAUGCGGGCGCCAGCGCUGUGUGUGCUGGCGGUGCGCUGCCUUAGUGCGGGGGAAAGUGGAGGGAACGGUCCUGCGGGGCGUUCUGUCCAAGAAAAAGGACUGCAGCCUCGGGGAGCCAGGGUCCCCUCGCAGACGAGCUGCCAACGCCGCGGAGCCAUUUCUGUUCCACCCUAGGGGAGGAGUAGGGGGAUAUCUUUUAAAAGUUUAAUUGCAAAAUAAGUAGGUUAGUAAGGCCAUUUGUGGUUGCUGUUUCAGUAACUUCAGCAGUCAACGGAGAGAAGAGUGGAAACCUUACUGGAUGCGGACAGGAGAGCCAGUUACUGAAAGCAGAUAUAACGCGGAUCCUGUAAAGAGUGAGUUGCUUGUGUCGAGGGAGGGAGGGAGGGAACAGAGGGUGCGCGUGUGAAAGCUCCGCCCCCAGCCCUAGCUCCUCCUUCCCGCUUCAGCAGGUCCAGGCUCUGCGCCAGUGCAUCCUUCUCCAAGAGUGCGCUGCCUGGGCCCGCUUGCCCUGGAGUUAACUUCAGCAGUCAACGGAGAGAAGAGUGGAAACCUUACUGGAUGCGGACAGGAGAGCCAGUUACUGAAAGCAGAUAUAACGCGGAUCCUGUAAAGAGUGAAAGGAGAAGACCACUUUUAGUUGCCUCCCUGCUAGCACCCUGACUUGCUCUGCUUGAAUAAGAAUCCAAGGACACAAGCUAAGACAUUUGCACUGGGUUUAGAUCUACUGCGAUUCACAAAACACAAAAGAACUUUCAGUCAGAGGGUGACACAUAAUGAUUUUAGACAAAACUCAGUUUCUUCUGGUGGAAGCUAUUCAGAUUGUUUGGAGAGUGGGAGGAAAAAGGAGUGAAGCAUCGCUUAACAACAAAAGUAAUAAUGCAGGCAGAAUAUUAAAUGGAGAAGCCAGACUUUCAACACAUAGAAAAGAAAGCUAGUUCAGAAUGUUGAGAGACUUGGGAGCUGAUUGAUUGAAGGUGGCACUUAGAAGGUUGCCCUUUUUAAAGAUAAAGGCUGAUACUGUGACUCUGUCCCAGGGGACCUGAGUAAAGAACUCCUCAGAGAUGUGGGACCACUAUUCAGAACAAGAUUUGGAGAGCUGGGGCAGAGAAGAUUUUACCUUGGGGAUUUCUUCAGCUGCGAGUAGUAAAUUGGUUAUGCCUUAAUGAAUGAAGUUUGUCAAAUUUUAAGAUAGGAUGUUAUUACGCCUUUUAAAAGAAUGAGGUAGAGUAUAACAUCUGAUUUGGAGUUCUUUCCAGCAUUUUAAGGUCUUUAAAGAAAACAAAUUGGAGAAAAAUAAAUAAAUAUAGAUCAUGCUGUACAUAUA
Molecule: long non-coding RNA, 2158 nt
Filed under: Homo sapiens (human)
Lineage: Eukaryota; Metazoa; Chordata; Mammalia; Primates; Hominidae
Description: non-protein coding lnc-C12orf74-3:23
Source: RNAcentral